This 37-nucleotide ribosomal RNA is filed under the name uncultured Tomentella. RNAcentral describes it as "partial 25S ribosomal RNA". Lineage: Eukaryota; Fungi; Basidiomycota; Agaricomycetes; Thelephorales; Thelephoraceae. The record is from RNAcentral.
GAUCUCAAAUCAGGUAGGACUACCCGCUGAACUUAAG